RNAcentral lists this unclassified non-coding RNA (518 nucleotides) under uncultured Glomeromycotina. RNAcentral's name for it is "SSU rRNA". It matches the Rfam family "Eukaryotic small subunit ribosomal RNA", at positions 572 to 1092 of the family's 1831-position model. Lineage: Eukaryota; Fungi; Glomeromycota. The record is from RNAcentral.
AGCCGCGGUAAUUCCAGCUCCAAUAGCGUAUAUUAAAGUUGUUGCAGUUAAAAAGCUCGUAGUUGAAUUUCGAGACCGGCUUACUGGUCGUGCUGUUGUACGUACUGGUAUAAUCGGUUUCUCCUUUCUGACGAACUUUAAUGCCAUUAAUUUGGUGUUUUAGGGAAUCAGGACUGUUACUUUGAAAAAAUUAGAGUGUUUAAAGCAGGCUCACGCUUGAAUACAUUAGCAUGGAAUAACGGAAUAGGACGUUUGAUUCUAUUUUGUUGGUUUCUAGGAUCGACGUAAUGAUUAAUAGGGAUAGUUGGGGGCAUUAGUAUUCAAUUGUCAGAGGUGAAAUUCUUGGAUUUAUUGAAGACUAACUACUGCGAAAGCAUUUGCCAAGGAUGUGUUCAUUAAUCAAGAACGAAAGUUAGGGGAUCGAAGACGAUCAGAUACCGUCGUAGUCUUAACCAUAAACUAUGCCGACUAGGGAUCGGAUGAUGUUAAUUUUUUAAUGACUCAUUCGGCGCCUUACG